RNAcentral lists this ribosomal RNA (851 nucleotides) under bacterium 1XD42-44. RNAcentral's name for it is "bacterial LSU rRNA". It matches the Rfam family "Bacterial large subunit ribosomal RNA", at positions 1135 to 1984 of the family's 2925-position model. The record is from RNAcentral.
UAAUAGCUCACUGGUCGAGUGACUCUGCGCCGAAAAUGUACCGGGGCUAAACGUAUCACCGAAGCUGCGGACUGUUCUUACGAACAGUGGUAGGAGAGCGUUCUAAGUGCAGUGAAGUCAGACCGGAAGGACUGGUGGAGCGCUUAGAAGUGAGAAUGCCGGUAUGAGUAGCGAAAGACGGGUGAGAAUCCCGUCCACCGAAUGCCUAAGGUUUCCUGAGGAAGGCUCGUCCGCUCAGGGUUAGUCGGGACCUAAGCCGAGGCCGAAAGGCGUAGGCGAUGGACAACAGGUUGAUAUUCCUGUACCACCUCCUCACCAUUUGAGCAAUGGGGGGACGCAGGAGGAUAGGGUAAGCGCGGUAUUGGAUAUCCGCGUCCAAGCAGUUAGGCUGGGAAAUAGGCAAAUCCGUUUCCCGUGAAGGCUGAGCUGUGAUGGCGAGCGAAAUUUAGUAGCGAAGUUCCUGAUUCCACACUGCCAAGAAAAGCCUCUAGCGAGGUGAGAGGUGCCCGUACCGCAAACCGACACAGGUAGGCGAGGAGAGAAUCCUAAGGUGAUCGAGAGAACUCUCGUUAAGGAACUCGGCAAAAUGACCCCGUAACUUCGGGAGAAGGGGUGCUUCUUAGGGUGUUAAAGCCCCGAGAAGCCGCAGUGAAUAGGCCCAGGCGACUGUUUAGCAAAAACACAGGUCUCUGCGAAGCCGUAAGGCGAAGUAUAGGGGCUGACGCCUGCCCGGUGCUGGAAGGUUAAGAGGAGCGCUUAGCGUAAGCGAAGGUGCGAAUUGAAGCCCCAGUAAACGGCGGCCGUAACUAUAACGGUCCUAAGGUAGCGAAAUUCCUUGUCGGGUAAGUUCC